UGCGAUUGGCCGUUCCUCGCCGAGAGCCCAUUGGGCACAAGCACAGGAACCCUAGCCCCAACCCACAGCCGCCACAUUUCCUCACUUCCUCAUCCACCCCGGCACCCCAUCGCUCCCCCUAUCGUCACCACGGCCUCCGCCCUAUGAUCUCCGCUGCCUCACGCGCGGUCAUCCUCUCAUCUCUCGUGCCACCACCGCCGACCCCUGCCAAGCCGUUGCGGCGCUCUUCCCAAGCCCUCGCCUCCCGUCUCACCAAGCCCUUGAUGCCGGCCCCGUCAGCAUGCCAAGGUGAUGCAGCGACGGCCGCGCUCGACACUGUCCUUCAUCGGUGGGGGUCCAGCGCCUGCGGGAGUAAGCAGAAGAGAUUGGUGGAGCGGCGGAUGCGGGCGGGCAGGGUCAGCGGUUGGGGAAAGCUCGUCGGCUGGAGCACUAGGAACGAAGGAUCUCAAGGUGGUUCAGGAUUUCCUCUCUUCUAUACGCAGGGUGCUGUAACACCCCAGGAAGAGAGGGAGAGGGAGAGGGAGAGGAUCCAGAUCGCGCUGGGGGAGGAGAGGUUGGCUUGGAGAGGAAGGAGGAGGAGAUGGAUUGCAGAGGGAAGAUUAAGAUUCAGAGUACAAUGCACGCAUACUCACACCCGGCCACAGGCGGCCAAUUUAACCCCACACACGCACGCCACUUGUCUGGCCAGCUGGCUGGGCCCACCAGCCAGCUCUUAGGCGCACUAACCACUGGUUAGGUGUGACAUUCCUCCCUCCUUGAGCUGUGUCCUCAUCUUCUUCGUCAGUAUCGUCGUCGUUCUCCGCCUCCGCCCACAGUGAUGCCGUUGGAAAGCGGUUGCGCAGCACGUCGUGGUCCUCCCAUGUCGUCGGCGCGGAGUCGCCGGUGCCCCACUGCACCUUGAGCUGCACCACCGGCACGUCGCCGCGCUUCAUCAUGCCCCUGUCCAGGAUGCGGGUCGGUAGGAGGUUGUCGACGGAGAGGUCCGGCGCCUUGGGAAGUUCACCGUACACCGGCGUAUAGUCGGGGGUGAAGGGCUUCAGUUGUGACACGUGAAAGAUAGGGUGCACUUGGCUUUCUGGCGUCAGGUCGAGCUUGUAAGCGAGUGCGCCAAUCUUCUCGGUGAUCUUGAACGGGCCAAAGUACUUAAAGGCGAGCUUGGCGCAGGGGCGAUUGACCACCGAACGCUGCCCAUACGGCUGGAGCUUGAGCAACACUUGUUCGCCCUCCUGAAAGUGCCUCUCUGUGCGGUUGCGGUCAGCGUUCUUCUUGAAUCGGUGCUGUGCGCGCUCCAGCUGUGCGCGAAUGUGCGCGGUGUGCGCCGCCCAAUCCAACUCCUCGCCGGCCGGCGCCGACUCCGCCCAAGAAGCCAUGGCGCCCAGGUUAGCUUCCGUGCCGUAGAGGGCCUUGAAGGGAGUGCCUUUGAGUGACGCAUGGAAGGUGGAAUUGUACCAGAACUCCGCCAUUGGCAGCCACCGGCGCCAUUGGUGCGGCGAGUCUUGGACAGCGCAUCGGAGGUACAUCUCCAUGCACUGAUUCACCCUUUCACUCUGGCCGUCGGUCUGAGGGUGAUAGGCUGUCGAGUACAGCAGUUUGGUGCCAGCGCCCGCGAGCAGCUCGCGCCAGAGGUGGCUUGUGAAGAUCUUGUCGCGAUCGGAGACGAUGGACACCGGAAUGCCGUGCAGCUUCACCACGUUCUCCCAGAAGGCGCGCGCCACCUGCUUGGCGUUGAAGGGGUGGCGGAGAGGGACAAAGUGGGCGAACUUGGUGAAGCGGUCGACGACCACCAUGAUCGUGUCGUGUCCUUCGGAGCGCGGUAGCCCCUCCACGAAGUCCAUGGUGAGGUCCUGCCAUGGCGCCGUUGGAAUGGGCAGCGGGGCGAGGAGGCCCGCCGGCUUGACAUGCUCGUGCUUGGCCUGCUGGCACACGGUGCACUGCUGCACGAACUCGGCGACGUCGCGCUUGAGGCCGCGCCAGUCGAAGUGUUUGCGCACGCGCUGGUAGGUGGCAGUGGAGCCGGAGUGACCACCCACCGCACUGCAGUGCAGCGCGGCGAUGAGCUUGGUGCGCAGGGCCGAAUUGGCCCCGAUCCAGAGGCGCCCCUGGCGCCUGAUGAUGCCACGGUAGAGCUCGUAGCCUUGAUCGUCCGGGCUGUGGAUCGCCAGUUGUUGCAGUCGUUCCUGGGCGUUAGCGUCAGUGGCAUAUGAGUUGGCCACCUCCUGCACCCAGUCGGGCUGGCACGUCGAGAGCGCGGCCAGUUCGAACUGUUUGCCCACUCGCGAGAGCGCGUCAGCUGCGCCGUUGUCCAGCCCCCUUCUGUACUGAAAACGGAACUGUAAUCCCACCAGCUUCGCCAUGGCCUUGCGCUGGAGCUCUGUCUCCAGGUGUUGUUCGCCUAGAUUACAGAGAGAUUUGUGAUCCGUGAUGAUGUCGAAGGGGCCGCGCUGCAAGUACUGACGCCACUUGUCGACGGCCAUCAUCACGGCGAGGAAUUCCUUCUCAUAAGUGGAUAGCUUCUGGUUGCGAACGCCGAGCACCUUGCUGAAGUAUGCGACCGGGUGCCCAUCCUGCGCGAGCACCGCGCCCACGCCCGUGUCGCAGGCGUCUGUCUCGAUCGUGAACGGCCGCGCAAAUUCUGGUAGGGCAAGGACUGGCGUGGUGACCAUCGAUUGCUUGAGCGUCUCGAACGCUGCUUGUGCUUGCGCCGUCCAGAAGAAGCCCUUCUUCGUCAGCAGCUGUGUGAGUGGCUUCGCGAUGAUGCCAUAGUGUGGGACGAACUUCCUGUAGUAGCCCGUGAGGCCGAGGAAGCCGCACAGCUCCGUGGCGUUCGUCGGUGUCGGCCACUGAUCCAUGGCCUACGUCUUCUCCUUAUCUGUGGCCACGCCCUCCUUGGAGAUCACAUGACCCAGGUAGUCGAUGUGAUCCGCAGCGAAAGUGCACUUGGAUUCCUUGACGAAAAGCUGGUGUGCCCGGAGCAGCUCGAAGACAAUGCGCAGGUGUUCCAGGUGCUCCUCCAUGGUUUCACUGAAGAGAAGGAUAUCGUCAAGGAAGAUGAUGACGAACUUGCGGACAUACUUACCAAACACGGAGUUCAUCAGGCACUGAAAUGUGGCAGGCGCGUUCGUCAGGCCGAACGGCAUGACUCUGAACUGAAAGUGUCCAUGGUGCGUCUUGAAUGCCGUCUUGAGCUCGUCCUCUUCCCGCAUUCUGAUUUGGUGGUAACCAGCGCGCAAGUCCAGCUUGGAGAACACUGCUGCGCCGGCCAAUUCAUCCAGGAGUUCGUCAAUGAUAGGAAGGGGAAACUUGUUCUUGAUGGUGGCGUCGUUGAGCCGGCGAUAGUCGACGCAGAACCGCCAAGUGCCGUCCUUCUUCACGAGCAGCACCGGCGCGGCAUAUGGACUGACGCUGUGCGUGAUCACGCCCGAAUCCAGCAUCUCCUUAACCUGACGCUCGAUUUCGUCCUUCUGCAGAGGCGAGUAGCGAUACGGGCGCGUGUUCGCGGGGACCGCGCCCUCCACCAGCGUGACAGCGUGGUCGUACUGUCGGUGCGGAGGGAGCCCUUUCGGUGCCGCGAACACGUCGGCGAACUCCUCGAGUAGGUCGGCGAGCGGGGUUUGGCUUGCACACUUGCGAGCCGGUCGCGGCGCGCCGUUGCAUGUGUCCACCAUGGCCAUGGCCUAAACGUCAUUUCCGGCCACCAUCUUGCGCAGCUCUUCGGGUCCUACGGCCUUGAUGGAGGUGGCCGGCUUGGUGGACACGCCGCGCAGGGUAACUUCUGCGCCGUCGUGCUGGAAUUUCACCCACUUGUCCUGCCAGUGGCAUGUCAUCGGACUGUUCUGGGCGAGCCAGUCCAUGCCCAGAAUGCCAUCGUACGCGCCGAUCUCUAGUUCGCGCAUGGGCGUGUUGAAGGUGUGACCCUGCAUCCACCACUUGAGGCCGGGCACCCUGCGCGUGCACGUGAGCUUGUCGCCGUUGGCCACCCGCACCUCCGUUGGCGGCAUUUCUUCCGUGGCGAGGCCGAGGCGAUCGACGAAGGCCUUGUUGACGAAACUGUGGGUGCUGCCCGAGUCGAGCAACAGGAGCAUGACCUGGUUCCCGACGAGGGCGCGCAACCGGAUCGUCGUUGUGGAGUCUGUGCCGUCGAGCGCCUGGGACGAGAGGAGGCAGCACUCUGGCGCGUCCGCGGCCGGAGCAGGAGAUUGCGCCGCUGGCCCCGGAUCGUCGAGCAGUUGCAAGGCGUGGAUGGUGUCGUCGGAUAGCACCUCGCCGUGGUCGCCCACGUUGAUGGUGAGCAACUGCGCGGGCUGGGCGCAGCGAUGCUCUCUGGAGUACCGAUCCCCACACUUGAAACAGAGGUUGUUCGCUCGGCGGAAGUCGCGCAGCUGCCUCUCCCGCGCGUACUCGUCCCCUUGGGCACGCGCCGGCGCGGCCACGGCGCGCUGUGGCGCGGCCGCGGCAGCUGUCGGUGGUGGUCGGCCAGCGGGUGUGAUGCGGGGGCGUGCACGGUACGUGCCCAGUUCUUCCUCCUGUAUGCGCGCGAGCACCGAGGCGCGCGUGAUGCUUGACGGCGCCUGGAGCCGCACCGGGGCACGCAGUUCGUCCUUCAGGCCGAGGAGGAAUUGCGUGACGAAGAACUUGGUGUUGAUGGACGGAUCGAGUGCGAGCAAGUGGUACAUCUGCUCGUCGAAGGCAGCACGGUACUCGGCGACGGUGCCUGUCUGCCGGAGUUGCAGGAGCUUGUGCAUCACCAUCUCGAACUCGUCGGCGCCAAACUCCUCCAGGAUCGCCGAUGUAAACACGUCCCACGUGAUGUUGCGAUGCGAUUGGCGGAACGCUUGGAGCCAGUGUGCUGCCCGGCCGUCGAUGUAGAGCGUGGCGGUGGCGACCCACUGGUGUGCAGCCAACUUGUAGAGCUCGAAGUAGGCGAGGCAGCGGUCCAGCCAUAAGUACGGCGCCGUUCCGUCGAACUUGGGGAAACCAUGUUUCGGGGGCUUGUGGUACUCGUUGGAGUGGUAGCCCGGCGGAGACGCGGUCGGAGCGGCGACGAACCCUCCCUGUGGCGGCACCGGAAGGAGGGGAGGGCGGUGAUCGCCCAGGCGCGCGUGCGACGACGACGGCCGGUACGGAUCCGGAGGCGGUGGGGGUUGCUGCGGUUGCGCGGGCUGGUGGAUGUGCGUGGUGACCGAGCCUGAUGGAGAGGAUCCUUCCGCCGUCUUGCGCGUGAGGUCGAGGUCCGCCUGCGUCAGAUCGAGCUGCCGCGCUAGGCCGCGCAUCUCUUGCGAGAUCUGCGCGUUGAAGGCGGCCUGGAGCUCGAUCUGCUUCUCGUGAGUCGCCUUCUGAUCGUCGAUCUUGGCGAGCAGCGACUCCAGCAUCUUGGUGAUGUUGGUGUUCCCCUCGUCCAUGGCGGCCAGCACUUGCCGCGUCGCCGCAGAAGCCUUGGAAGUAGCCGUCGUCCUGCUCGAGAGGGCGUCGAACCCCGCGACGGAUUUUGUGUGGUUCGCCGGAGCAAGCCACACCGGCGCGGUGGAUGUUACCGACCCCCAAACAAGUGAGGAACAAAAUUUUUCGGAAGAUUUGGUGGCUCUGAUUACCAGUUGUAACACCCCAGGAAGAGAGGGAGAGGGAGAGGAUCCAGAUCGCGCCGGGGGACGAGAGGUUGGCUUGGAGAGGAAGGAGGAGGAGAUGGAUUGCAGAGGGAAGAUUAAGAUUCAGAGUACAAUGCACGCAUACUCACACCCGGCCACAGGCGGCCAAUUUAACCCCACACACGCACGCCACUUGUCUGGCCAGCUGGCUGGGCCCACCAGCCAGCUCUUAGGCGCACUAACCACUGGUUAGGUGUGACAGGUGCACAGGUCAGGAGGCCAAAGCUAUUUGACAUGAUAAUACCAUUCAGGCAGGAUGGAGGUGGUGCACAUAGACGAGGACAGCAGCGACAGGCAAAGAGCUACAACUAUGGUAUUGCAGGUUAUACAGCAGGGUUCACGAUGCAUUCGUUGGAGCAUUUUGUCAAAUGACUUCUCAUGCAGCUCCUAGCUUUUCAGUUAAGCAUCUCUGUCUAUUGGAAUUCGCCCAAUGUAUGUGCUUGGGCUUUGUUUUGAUUGAUGGACCUUAAAGCUGAAGCAUUAAUGCAUGAACUUGCCAAAUGGAUGGAGCAACAGGCAUAGAAGAAAUCCACAACCAAUUUUUCUUGGCUGCGCCAUCUUCCGCUGACAGUAACUCUACACAACAGCCUGCUAAGGUAGGUAAGAGUGAUGAUAAUGUUACUUAAAGGAGGCCACAACUUGCACCAAAUAUAUGGGCAUGUGCAACGGCAACUUAUGUAGAUCGUUUCUAGGUGAUGCUGAUGAAUCAUGUAAGGAUGGCGCAUAACUCACCAGAGGGAAAAGAUCGAACUACGGUAACCAAAUCAAACAGAAGAGAAGGUCCAGUUGUCGUUGCCUUCACUUGCUUUGUCGUUUACCGAUCUGUUAGGUUGCCGGUUCCCCGACUUGCUAUCAAGGAGAGGGGAGAGAAAUAUGGAUUGGGAUUCUAGGUAAACUUUACUUAAUUUGUUGCAGAAAAUGCUCGGUAGAUGUCAUUUAUGGAUGAGGUUGUGGCAGUAGUUCUCGGGUGUUGUCUCUAUCUUGAUAAAGCCUUCUAUCAGGGCGCAUUAGAGGCUGAAGAAUAGAAAACAUUUGGGGUUUCUGUGGCAUUGAACAUUCAACGUUUAUGUACUAUGUACAUGCACGGCCAUGCACGACCAGUUCAGUAACUAGAUGGCCUUUUCUACUGUACCGGUUCUGCUACUUUUCACAUGUUAACUUCUUUGAAAAGCGCCAACAGUGUGUCCCACAUGUAAAUAGUCCCAUGUUACAAAGAACAUAACCAGAAGUGUGGGGAUGAUGUAUUAAUGGUCGGUCAGGGAAUUCAGUCUCGAUGAGCUUAACUAAUGACAUAUGUGAGUUGAGCAUGAGGUCAUUUUGAAAGUAACAGAAGUAUUUUACUUUCCUUUU
Triticum dicoccoides is the source of this 6992-nucleotide long non-coding RNA. RefSeq lists it as uncharacterized. The transcript has 9 exons. The record is from RefSeq and is a predicted model, not a curated record. NCBI's taxonomy places the organism in Eukaryota, Viridiplantae, Streptophyta, Magnoliopsida, Poales, Poaceae.